Molecule: non-coding RNA, 277 nt
Organism: Coffea arabica (coffee)
Lineage: Eukaryota; Viridiplantae; Streptophyta; Magnoliopsida; Gentianales; Rubiaceae
Source: RefSeq, a predicted model, not a curated record
UACGGGAACUAUCUAACUGAAUCAAGUUUCGGGGGCCCUAUCAAUGAGUGCGAGAAGAUUUGUUUACCCAUGAACUGGAACAAGGAACAUUGGUACUUAUGUAUCAUAGACAUAAUUAGCCGUCAGGUUUUCAUUUGCGACUCUGCACCUGAUAGCAAUGCUGUUAACAAAGAAAGGGAGAAUAAUGCCAAGAUUGUUUGUGCAGCAAUUGAAGAGGCACUGUCAUAUGGAUUUGGCCAUGGACAUAAAGGAGAUGUGAACAACUACAAAUUUACUA